RNAcentral lists this long non-coding RNA (580 nucleotides) under Homo sapiens (human). RNAcentral's name for it is "HSALNT0370131". Lineage: Eukaryota; Metazoa; Chordata; Mammalia; Primates; Hominidae. The record is from RNAcentral.
CAGCCUAUUGUGGGACUUCACCUUAUGAUCAUGUCUCAGCAGGACAGCUUAUCUCUGCUCCAUGUGGCCUAACUGGGGUUGGAUGACCCACCUCCAAGAUGGCUUACUUUCAUGAAUGGUGACCUCACACUGGGAGCCUGAAACCAGCCAUGGUGAGAGUAUUGAUGGACAGAAAUCAGCAAAUGCUACAAAUCAGGACUCUACUCCUCCCCAGAGCUGGAAGCUAACUCUACAGCAGAAGCAGUGAGUCACAAGGACAAGAACCAAAUGAUAUGGACGACCCCAUCACAACAACUCAAGCUGGUGUAAACAUUCUCACAUGGCAUGAGAAUGAAACAUAAUGCAGUGCUCCCUCUCCCCAGACCUGGGUCACAUUCCUCUAUGGAUUAAAUGCAAUAGCAGUUAGGUUUUAAUUGCAUUCCUUUGAGCAAUGUCAUUUAUUUUACCUGUUGUUUACCAUUAAAUUUAUGUCCUGGAAGAUGUUGAUAAAACUACAAGAAGGAAAGUAUCCUUUUGCUAUGGUUUGAAUAGCAAACCAAAAUUUGUGUUGAAAUUUUAUCCCAAAUGUGGCAGAGAAUUA